Molecule: small RNA, 4484 nt
Filed under: Rattus norvegicus (Norway rat)
Lineage: Eukaryota; Metazoa; Chordata; Mammalia; Rodentia; Muridae
Description: uncharacterized LOC108351758
Source: RNAcentral
UUCUUUCCUCCUACAAAGCUAACUCACCUGAUUUGUCAGAACAGCUUGAAAAUGAAGUGCUAACUGGUGGGUUUUAUUGAAAGGAAACCGAGUGGAACAACAUAUGUAUUUUCUUAGGGAACUCAAAAAGCUCACAGUCAUGUGGCGUUCCUUGGGGUGAAUUCUUUGUUAUGAAUUACAGUCUGCUCACUGAUGAGUUGUUAGUAAAAACGUAGGCCUGCCGGGCCAUUAUUUUUUUCCACACAGUACACACAGUUCAGUUUCCCCCCCUUUUUUUUUAAAGUUUUCAUUAAUGCACCGAGUGUGAAAUAAAUCUGUUUCUAAUUUGUCAUUGUUUUCCCUUCAUCUGGACAAUAAUUUAUUGCCAAAUCUAACACUUGUCCAUUAUUAACAUCCCUCUACCGGGGACGUGUUUUAAUUUUUCUUCCUUUCUUUUAUUUUUCUUACUUUCUUCUCCUCUUCGACUCCCCCUUGCCCACCAUCCCUAUUGUUAAGACUGGAAGAAGCGAAAAGUUACAGCAUGGCAGGGAUUUUGUUUAUGGGUGUGACAUCCGAGUCUGAGUUUGAGGGAUGCUGGGGGUAACUGGUGGGCACGUUGUGUGGAAGGAAGGGAAGCCAGCUGGAGUUGUUCGGAGCUGAGAAAACAGGCUCAGGGAAAACUGUUGAGGAAAACUAGAACCAGAUGGUAACCUGAGGUGCAGGACAACUUUAUUUAGCAUGGCAGUCUUUAUUUAUUUAUUUAUUUUACACACACAUCUGGUCACACUGGGGAGCCUCUAUGCACACUUGUUAUUAUGCUGUUAAUAGUAUAUUUGAUUUGCCAAGGAAUAUUAGCAAUUACGUUCACUAUGUAUCCGAGUAUAUUCAUAUUUUUAGUGGGCCUUUGUGAGGCAUGCUAGUGGUUAAGGCUUUAUGUGGGAAGGGCAGAGGAAUUGCUGUUUGAAGUUCUAGUGGUGUGGAAAAUGUGUCCAUCAAUUAAGGAUUUUAAAGAGGCUGAACCCCCCCAAGAACAUGCCAAAAUGUUGAUGAUAAAUAGCCAGCGGUGUGCUGCCAAUGCAUUCUUGAUUUCAGAAAUAGUCUAGAUUGUCACGGUGCACCCUCCAUGGGCUCAUUCAAGAUGAAGCCAUCUUGAUUUCUCUUGAAGUAAUGAGAAUGAAUAUAAGGAUGGGUUUGGACAUUUAACUUGUUAGCUCAUAUCUACCUUAUCCCUCAAAAUCUAAAACAAAUCUUAAAUUGGUGUGUAGAUAAGAUACAGUUUGUGACGGAAGUGAUAUUUUGAAAAAGAAAAAAAAACCUUUAUCACUUUCUUAUUUUACCAUCCAUUUCUUCAUUCUGAGUUUUGCCUUGAUGUGAUUACAGAAGUAUGUCAUUACAGAAGUAAUUCUCAAGACUUUAUUUGUAAGGUAAGGUAAGUGGGCUCUUACCUUACACUUAGUUGAUUUUGCAGAAUUGUGAGGUAAACCUCAAAUGAUCCUCUAGAAAUCUGAAUUGUCUUAUCUUCACUACCAGAGUUGGUUUCCCCAACCACUGGAGGCCCUUUAUGCAGAGAAACAUCAGCUGCUCUAAACACAUUGCUUGUCCUGACACUUGCAUUCCCUGACAAGGAAGACAGUGUGUAAGAAUGAGGUAUUAGGGCCAGGCCUUCCAGAUACAGCCUCACUGACCUAAGAGUCCCAGACCCUAAAACAGAGGAGAACUGCAAUGUGUCUCUGUGUGUAUAUGUGAAAAGGCAGGCUGUCUCAAGCCUAUUCUGCUGACAAGGAAGGGGACAUUGUCUAGAUAGCCUGUGCCUUUCAGAAAAUAGAGCAUCAUGAUAUUACACAGCAGAACAGAGACUAUUUGCAUCUGAAUUUUAGGGAUAUGAUUUCCGUUGUGGAGCUGGGAGUCAGCUGUAAGUAGGACAUGCCUGGCCACAGAACCUGGGACUGACUGUCCUUAUUAUGCAGCCUGGCCAUAGUGGUGUCACAGGAGGGGACCCUUGUUGGCUUCCUUUUGGACAGUAGAGGGUAGAAUGAGAGAGAACAAAAAAUACACAGCAUAGGAAGUUUGAUGCUAAAAUGUCACCCAAUGUCUUGUUUUCUCUCCAGAACUAGAGAUAUGUACAGAAAAAAAUUCCCUUUUUCAAUUCAGUCAAUAACUACUGAGGACCUACUAUGUGCCAGGUAGCCUCAGUUGCUCUCCUCCUUGGAGACUGUAGUUAUGCAUUAAAAGAAAUCUCGUGUUAUGGCCAACAGGUCACUCUCAUUUCAAGAAAGGGACUCUACAACUUAAGGAUUCCCAAGCCACUCUGAAGGCUGAGAAGCAGAGCUUCAGGCUUUGGGAUUGGUCUGACAGGUUGAAGUCCCAAUUCCCAGUUUGAAGAACAGGGAUGUUAAAGGAUGCGAUCUGGGUUAAAUGAGGUCACUGGGCUGAACUAAUCCAAUACAAGUGAGAUCAGAAGAGUUCCGGGUGCAGGCAAACAAAGAAAUGGCUGUGUGAUGACAUGAUGUCCUUAGUGUUGGGUUUCACUGAGAAGUCUUCAGCUGUGAGGGUGACUGAAGAGUUCCCCAGAGAUUUGCAUUUGCUCCUUCAGAGGGUAGCACUCCCUGGCACCACAGGCCAGCAGAAUGCUGAAGUUUCAAACCUCCGAGUGAACUUGGCAUCGCUCACCUCAGUCUCAGAUACAGCAGAGAUGGGAGUGGGGACCAUCUCAACCGAAAGUGAAUGCAAAUUACCCCGAGACUUAACUGCUCCAGAUGGAACCCACAGGAGGCCCUUAGCAUGGACCGGUCCCAGAGGCUGCUGGCCAAAUGCAAGGAAUCCCAGCGCUUGAGCACAGUCCUUGGAGAGCACUUGAGCACAAAUUAUUUUUAUGACCACAAGUAAUGAUUGAGUUAGAGGCAUUAGAACAUUUAAAGUGAUAUUCACAUGUAAAAAUCUCCAACCAUGUAUCUCUAAAGAAAAUAAGGUUGGAGUAAAGCAAACCACAUUUUGUUUAUCACAAAAAUUUUAACAGCAGACUUAUCAGCCAAUUGUUGGAGAAGUGAAAUAGUCUUUAGUGGUAAUUUUUGUCCUGACCAUUGACUUUCUCUCAAUAGUAGAGCAGGCUUCAAAGUGUUAGUGUGUUAUUUACUAUAGAGUGGUCAAGGGUGCUCUGAGGAGGUCUAAGGAUGCCCUGGAGUCUACACAAUGUAUGCCUGUCACUGUUCCUGAGGCAGAGCUCACGGCAUUCAUGAUACCAUCAGGAGCGCCCAGGCAUCUCUUACUUCUCUCAAAAUGUUUUCAUCAUGACUCUCUUCUGCCUUUGUCGUACUUGCUGGUUCACCUUCUUUCUCUAACUGUUCAUUGAAUUUUGGCUUGGACUACCCUUCCUAAGGAUACACUUCUGCUGAUUUAAAUGCUAUUUCUCCUGCUUCAUGCAAGGAGAAUAAGGGACCAGGAUACUUCAGUUGAUGCUAUAAGAUAUUGAACUACAUUGAAAAAAUAGUUCAUUUAUUCUUUGGCUUACAAAACACUUCAGGAUUUUUGUAUCGAAUUGAAGUUUCAUUCAUUUUCAUUCCCCAAAACAGUAAACAAGGGGUUACUGUGAAGUUUCUUUUUUCUUUCAUUCUUCCUUCUCCUCCUCCUCUCCCUCCUCCUUUCCUUUUCCCCCUCUUCCUCUUCCUCUUCCUCUUCUGCUUCUUCUUCCUCCUCCUCCUCCAAAGGCUGAUGAUUGAACUUGGAGGCUUCCACUUUUAUAUCCUGGGGAAACAUUCUACUGCCAAGCCAUGUUCCUAGCUGUGGAGUUUGGUUGCCUUUGUGAAGUACAGUGAGUGGAAUUAAAGGAGCUUCCAGUGUCGAAAAGAAACGACUUCCAUCCUGUGUGUGUCUCGCCAAUACAGUUACAUCUCUAAUUUUAGGAAGACUGAGAUAAUUCUACAUAUGCGUUUUCUCUAGGUCCAUAGAUGCUCAGUAUUCACAAGGAUGCUCUUCUUGAAUUCAGGGAUGGUGGGAUUUCAGGUGCUUGUCUUACUUUUAGAACUACCUGAUAACAUUUUUAUAUAUUCCAGUGGGAGAUACCAAGGUACACAAACAAUAUGGCACAAGUGUAGAUCUGGUGUAUUAGAAACACACAAGAUAUGUGGAAAAUAGGAUGAUAUGGAAUAUGAGGAAACAGAGUGGUGAUAAGGACAGAUCUACUGGCUACAUCGCAGUGAGUAAGCAUUGACUAAGUGUGUCAGCUAAGUGCAGUGUGAUGGAGACUUCCCCUCACUUAUGAAGAUGAGAUCAUCUAAGGAACAGGGAUGAUAUAUUCAGUUGUCAGAAAGACAAUGCUAGAUUUCUAUCAGAAGAUGCUGGGCCAGAGAGAUGGCUCAGAGGUUAGAAGUGCUGCCUGUUUUCCCAGAGGUCCUGGGUUCAAUUGCCAGCAACCAAUCACUUGGUGGCUCACGACCAUCUGUAAUAAAAUCUGGUGUUGAGGCAUAUGUGUAAGCAGAACACUAUAUACAUAGUAAAUAAAGUUUUUU